GAAACACGGACCAAGGAGUCUAGCACUGCUGCGAGUCGAAGGGUUUUAAAACCUAUGGGCGCAGUGAAAGCAAAUAUUGGGAAAUCGGAUACAGAUUNAGGAGGUGUUGAGUCAUUGACGAAAUAUCCUACCUAGAGCAGUAGUGCUGGGACCCGAAAGAUGGUGAACUAUGCCGGAAUAGGGCAAAGCCAGAGGAAACUCUGGUGGAGGCUCGUAGCGAUGCUGACGUGCAAAUCGCUCGUCUAAUUUGGGUAUAGGGGNGAAAGACUAAUCGAACCAUCUAGUAGCUGNUUCCCUCCGAAGUUUCUCUCAGGAUAGCGGGCCGACUUUGGGUUGUUUUGUGUGGUAAAGCGAAUGAUUAGCGUAUUUGGGGGUGAAAUACCUUCGGUCGAUUCUCAAACUUUAAAUACGCAAGAAAGAGGCGGUUGCUUAAGUGAACCUCUCUUCUGAAAACGUCGGCCCUGUGGGCCACUUUUGGUAAGCAGAACUGGCGAUAUGGGAUGAACCAUAAGCACGGUUAAGGCGUCAAAUGNNNNNNNNNNNNNNNNNNNNNNNNNNNNNNNNNNNNNNNNNNNNNNNNNNNNNNNGCAAUGAAGUCGGAAUCCGCUAAGGAGUGUGUAACAACUCACCUGCCGAAUGAACUAGCCCUGAAAAUGGAUGACGCUUAAGCGGACAGCCGACACCAUGCCGUUUUGGUAAGAAGCGACCAAAAUGAGUAGGAGGGCGUGGCGGUCUUGUUGGGAAGGUCGAGACGCGAGUCUGACUUGAACGGCCGCUAGUGCAGAUCUUGGUGGUAGUAGCAAAUAUUCAAGCGAGAUCCUUGAAGGGCGAAGCGGGGAAGGGUUCCACGCGAACAUUGAUUGGGCGUGGGUGAGUCGUUCCUAAGCCGGGUGGUAAUCGUUCUUCGAUCGGCGAAAGGGAAGCGGGUUAAAAUUCCUGCACACGGAUGUGAAAGCGGUGACGCAAAUUGAGGUGGAGACGUCAGCGGUGGCGCUAGGCAGAGUUUUCUUUUCUGUUUGACCUCUGAGUGCAUGCUGUGGAAUCCGUUUGUCGGGAGAAACAGAUGCCGAUGGGCAGAGCGUCGGGGUGUCCCCGGCGUCUAGCACGCCACCGAUGGCCCUUGAAAAUCCAUCUGCAAACAAAAUUUCACGCCGUGGCGUACCGAUAACCGCAUCAGGUCCCCAAGGUGAACAGCCUCUGCUCAAUAUGAACAAUGCAGGUAAGGGAAGUCGGCAAAAUGGACCCGUAACUUUGGGAAAAGGGUUGGCUCUAGUGGAGUGGGGGAUUUUUAAAUGGGGUUCAGUGUCUCUCGACUUGCUGGCUGAGGAAGGCUAAACUGAGGCAACUCGGUUUUCGGCUAGCUUUGGCCGGUGGGUUUGGGGGUAUUGGGCACCGCCUCCAGCAUACUCCAGACUAGAACUGCAACGGGCAAAGGGAAUCCGACUGUUUAAUAAAACGUCAAAGUGAAGAGAUUCAAACAAGCGCGGGUAAACAGCGGGAGUAACUAUGACUCUCUUAAGGUAGCCAAAUGCCUCGUCAUCUAAUUAGUGACGCGCAUGAAUGGAUUAACGAGAUUCCUACUGUCCCUAUCUGCUUCUAGCGAAACCACAGCCGAGGGAACGGGCUCGGCAAAACCGGCGGGGAAAGAAGACCCUGUUGAGCUUGACUCUAUUCUAACUUUGUGACGCAAGUUAGGAGGUGUAGCAUAGGUGGGAGACUUCGGUCGCCAAUGAAAUACCACUACUCUUAAUCUUGUUUUACUUAUGGCGUAAGACUGCACGACCUUUAUGGUCUAUUUUGGCAUCAACCUGGGUUCUGGCACAUACUGCGCAAGCGGCAGUGUCACCGGGGAGCAGCGCGCCCGACACAUUUAGGAGGGGAGUUUGGCUGGGGCGGCACAUCUUCUACAAGACAACGAAGGUGUCCAAAGAUGAGCUCAGUGAGAACAGAAAUCUCACGUAGCGCAAAAGGGUAAAAGCUUGUUUGAUUUUGAUUUUCAGUGUGAGUUGAAAACGCGAAAGCGUGGCCUAUCGAUCCUUUCACGAUUCGAGGUUUGAAGCGAGAGGUGUCAGAAAAGUUACCACAGGGAUAACUGGCUUGUGGCGGCCAAGCGUUCAUAGCGACGUCGC
Molecule: ribosomal RNA, 2129 nt
Filed under: Mastophora sp. (in: red algae)
Lineage: Eukaryota; Rhodophyta; Florideophyceae; Corallinales; Mastophoraceae
Description: Mastophora sp. (in: Rhodophyta) partial large subunit ribosomal RNA
Rfam family: Eukaryotic large subunit ribosomal RNA
Source: RNAcentral